AGUUAAAUACGUAAUUAGAUAUAAAUAAGUUAAUUUAGGUGAUAAACACGGUUAAUGUAUAAUUGGAUAUUCAUUUGGAUUCUAAAGCAACUCAUAACAGUUAGAGUCCAUCUAAAGUAGUAUAAAUAGCAGAAGAGGCACAAUACCUAAGGUAUUCACUUUUUACUCUUUUGAUACUUAGCUCUCAGACUAACUUGAUCAUCAGAAUGUCUUUGCAGGUACCCCAUCAUAUCCAAAUCAAAGGAGAUCCAGCAGAAAGAAACCUAACCGAAAAAUAAGAAAGACAAAAAGAUUGUAAGAGAAAAGAAUCAUCAAUAUAUCAAUAUAUCUCAUGUAUUGUGUAUUUUAUCUUUAAAAUUAUUUAAAUAACUUCAACCAUUGUAAUUGAAAUAUUAUUCAUUUUAGAAUUCAUUACGAUAUAAUUUUAUGAUUAAAAAAUAUCUUUAUAAAUUAAAAAAAAACUGUAUAUAAAUUAUUAUUAAUCUCCGUUAUAUAUUGAGCUAGCGGAAUAUAAUUAUAUAUAUGUAUGAUAAUGAGUGAUUGAAAUUUGGAGUGUGCGUGUGUGAUGUGUGAAGUGAAGGAGAUACAGUUAUAGCAGUGAGCAGAGAAUAGAAGAAGAAAAAGUGUUUAGGGAUGAAGAGGGAGCGCCAAAACCUUGCUUCCACCGCAGGCACCUCAAGCAGCGGCUACU
Molecule: long non-coding RNA, 691 nt
Filed under: Phaseolus vulgaris (common bean)
Lineage: Eukaryota; Viridiplantae; Streptophyta; Magnoliopsida; Fabales; Fabaceae
Description: long non-coding RNA (PVUL_LNC004274)
Source: RNAcentral